RNAcentral lists this non-coding RNA (237 nucleotides) under Lapidilactobacillus dextrinicus. Its description in RNAcentral is "Lactobacillus dextrinicus T-box sequence". It matches the Rfam family "T-box leader". From Rfam's summary of the family: Uncharged tRNA acts as the effector for transcription antitermination of genes in the T-box leader family. T-boxes are found upstream of many aminoacyl-tRNA synthetase genes and some amino acid biosynthetic genes usually in Gram-positive bacteria. The record is from RNAcentral. Lineage: Bacteria; Bacillati; Bacillota; Bacilli; Lactobacillales; Lactobacillaceae.
CAAUCGGCAAUAAAAAGGACCAGUAAACUUAAUGAAUCAUCUUCAGUGAAUUAGGAAUAGUGUAAACCUAAUGGUGACUUAAGUUGAAUAACACCUUUUUGCUUCGAACUGAAAUUUAUUAAAGUAAGUUUAGACGUUACCAAUCCGUUAUCAUUGGAAAGUAUGUUUGUACUUUUUGAGUUGACUUCAUUUUGAAGUAAUCUGGGUGGUAUCGCGGAAAGACUUUUCGUCCCUAAU